UACGGAAGGCAGCAGUGGGGAAUAUUGCACAAUGGGCGCAAGCCUGAUGCAGCCAUGCCGCGUGUAUGAAGAAGGCCUUCGGGUUGUAAAGUACUUUCAGCGGGGAGGAAGGCGAUGUGGUUAAUAACCGCGUCGAUUGACGUUACCCGCAGAAGAAGCACCGGCUAACUCCGUGCCAGCAGCCGCGGUAAUACGGAGGGUGCAAGCGUUAAUCGGAAUUACUGGGCGUAAAGCGCACGCAGGCGGUCUGUUUAAGUCAGAUGUGAAAUCCCCGGGCUUAACCUGGGAACUGCAUUUUGAAACUGGCAGGCUUGAGUCUCGUAGAGGGGGUAGAAUUCCAGGUGUAGCGGUGAAAUGCGUAGAGAUCUGGAGGGAAUACCGGUGGCGAAGGCGGCCCCUGGGACGAAGACUGACGCUCAGGGUGCGAAAGCGUGGGGAGCAAACAGGAUUAGAUACC
This 457-nucleotide ribosomal RNA is filed under the name uncultured bacterium. RNAcentral describes it as "bacterial SSU rRNA". It matches the Rfam family "Bacterial small subunit ribosomal RNA", at positions 340 to 786 of the family's 1533-position model. The record is from RNAcentral.